This 373-nucleotide ribosomal RNA is filed under the name Erythrolamprus epinephalus. RNAcentral's name for it is "Erythrolamprus epinephelus partial large subunit ribosomal RNA". It matches the Rfam family "Bacterial large subunit ribosomal RNA", at positions 1960 to 2550 of the family's 2925-position model. Lineage: Eukaryota; Metazoa; Chordata; Lepidosauria; Squamata; Dipsadidae. The record is from RNAcentral.
CAUAAUCAUUUGUCCACUAAUUAUGGACUAGUAUGAAAGGCAAAAUGAGGGUUUAACUGUCUCUUAUAGUAAGUCAAUUAAACUGAUCUACCAGUAAAAAAGCUGGAAUAAACACACAAGACCAGAAGACCCUGUGAAGCUUAAACUAAACUAUUAAACCACAUAAUAACUACUUUCGGUUGGGGCGACCUUGGAAAAUAAAAGAACUUCCAAACUAGUGACAAUCAAUCAUCCCCCAGGCCAACAAGCCACAUAUGACCCAGCACACCUGAUAAUUGAACCAAGUUACUCCAGGGAUAACAGCGCCAUCUUCUUCAAGAGUCCAUAUCAAAAAGAGGGUUUACGACCUCGAUGUUGGAUCAGGACAUCCUAA